Molecule: transfer RNA, 66 nt
Filed under: Pseudostylochus intermedius
Lineage: Eukaryota; Metazoa; Platyhelminthes; Polycladida; Callioplanidae
Description: tRNA-Trp (UCA)
Source: RNAcentral
AAAUUCUUAGGUUAUAAUAGACCGUAAGCCUUCAAAGCUUGAAGAGAAAAGGAUUUUUCAGAAUUU